UGAUAGCUCAGUCAGUAGAGCGUGAGGCUCUUAAUCUGAGAGCCAUAGGUUCAAACCCCACGUUGGGCAAAA
Podarcis lilfordi (Lilford's wall lizard) is the source of this 72-nucleotide non-coding RNA. The record is from the annotation of a GenBank genome assembly. NCBI's taxonomy places the organism in Eukaryota, Metazoa, Chordata, Lepidosauria, Squamata, Lacertidae.